GGCGGUAUUGGUGAAGUGGUUAACACAUCGGUUUGUGGAUCCGACACACGUGGGUUCGAUUCCCACAUACCGCCU
This 75-nucleotide transfer RNA is filed under the name Latilactobacillus sakei. RNAcentral's name for it is "Lactobacillus sakei tRNA-His(gtg)". It matches the Rfam family "tRNA". Rfam says of the family: Transfer RNA (tRNA) molecules are approximately 80 nucleotides in length. Lineage: Bacteria; Bacillati; Bacillota; Bacilli; Lactobacillales; Lactobacillaceae. The record is from RNAcentral. RNAcentral also lists the same sequence under 2 other names.